Molecule: ribosomal RNA, 206 nt
Filed under: uncultured bacterium
Lineage: Bacteria
Description: partial 16S ribosomal RNA
Rfam family: Bacterial small subunit ribosomal RNA
Source: RNAcentral
AGAUUGUAGGCUGAAACUCGCCUAUAUGAAGUCGGAAUUGCUAGUAAUCGCGGAUCAGCAUGCCGCGGUGAAUACGUUCCCGGGCCUUGUACACACCGCCCGUCACACCAUGAGAGUCGAUAACACCCGAAGCCUGUAGUCUAACAGCAAUGAGGACGCAGUCGAAGGUGGGAUUGAUAAUUAGGGUGAAGUCGUAACAAGGUACC